CCUACGGGAGGCUGCAGUGGGGGAUAUUGCACAAUGGGGGGAACCCUGAUGCAGCGACGCCGCGUGGGUGAAGAAGCACCUCGGCGCGUAAAGCCCUGUCAGCAGGGAAGAAAAUGACGGUACCUGAAGAAGAAGCCCCGGCUAACUACGUGCCAGCAGCCGCGGUAAUACGUAUGGGGGCAAGCGUUAUCCGGUUUUCCUGGGGGUAAAGGGGGCGCAGACGGCGGUGCAAGCCAGGAGUGAAAGCCCGGGGCGCAACCCCGGGACUGCUCUGGAAACUGCGUGGCUGGAGUGCAGGAGGGGUAGGCGGAAUUCCUGGUGUAGCGGUGAAAUGCGUAGAUAUCAGGAGGAACACCAGUGGCGAAGGCGGCUUGCUGGACUGCAACUGACGUUGAGGCCCGAAAGCGUGGGGAGCAAACAGGAUUAGAUACCUUGGUAGUC
This 441-nucleotide ribosomal RNA is filed under the name uncultured bacterium. RNAcentral describes it as "partial 16S ribosomal RNA". It matches the Rfam family "Bacterial small subunit ribosomal RNA", at positions 338 to 795 of the family's 1533-position model. The record is from RNAcentral.